Long non-coding RNA from Canis lupus familiaris (dog), 3431 nucleotides. RefSeq lists it as uncharacterized. The transcript is spliced from 8 exons. The record is from RefSeq and is a predicted model, not a curated record. NCBI's taxonomy places the organism in Eukaryota, Metazoa, Chordata, Mammalia, Carnivora, Canidae.
ACCGUUGACCUCCAGGAGGGGGAGAGUGGCUGGGGGCUGGAUCAGCUGCCCAUCAAGCACGCCUUUGUGAUGAAGCUUCCACAAAGACCCCAAAAUGACAGGGUUUGGAGAGCUUUGGGGUUGGAGGACACAUGGAGAGUGGGGACAGCUCUCCGGCCCUGGAGAGCCUCCACACCUCUCCGCAGUCUUGCCCCACUCGUCUCUCCACCUGGCUGUUCCUGAGCCAUAUCCUUUCUUAAUAACCUGGUAGUCUAGUAAGCAAAAAGAGUUCCGCGACCCCUUGCUGUGACCCUGAGAGCAUCCGCGGUGAGGUUUUAUUACAACGAAAGCACAGUGUCUCCCGCCAUUUGCAUCAGUAGGAUUCGAUCGGUCAUUAAUUCUGCAAAUCAGACGUACAAAGUGUUUGCAGCAUCUUUACCACCAGUUCAAUCCUAUUACAUUUAGGAAUAUUUUCCGAGCCCCCACUGGGGUAGAGUAUGGUUCUUGCAGCUGGUGUGUGGGCAGACAGAGGUAGGCCCCCUGCAGCCCACAGCAACCACAGCCAUCGCUGGUGUGCACUGAGCACGUGCCCGGGGCCUGUCCUGGAUCAAGCGACUUACACGCAUUAGCUCACGGAACGCCCAGAACAGCUCUAAGACCCGCGUUGAUGGACAACGAAGGAACCACCCGGUCCCCGUCUGUAUUUUUGGGGCAUCGGUGCAGCACGGGCUCCAGCAAGACCCUGGGAGAAAGACCCGUGCGGUGAGUCCUCUGCCUUGCACGGCUGGCAACUACUUGCUGAGGGUGAAUAUGUGCAUGCAUUAAAAAUAUGUUUGUAAUUAUCAGCUGCAGUCUAUGCUGAGUCAUUAACGAGGAAGCCAGAGGCAAAGACAAAAUGCUCCAACAGUUCAGAGGACAGUGACAGCAGUGGCAGAGAGCAGGGACACUCGGGAGAAGGUGGGACAUGAGCCGCCCUUGAAAGGAAGGGAGAGUGCUCGGGGACUCUCUGGGGUCAGUCCACUUUUUAACUACAACCAAGCCCCGAGGGUACAAUGAGAAUCUUCCAGAUGUCUCACUGGCUCGUCCUUCAAGUCCUCCAAGGUCACCACCCGUCCCACAUCAACCAAUUUGGGGAUUGCAGGACAACAUCCUUUAUGAGCAAAGGAUUUGUUCCAAAUUUCGCUUAUUUUAUUGAUCAUACUGUCAGAGCCACCAGGUUGUAAGCAUCGCUAAUCAUCCCAAAUGAAAAGCACCAGGAAGUUCCCCCAGGUAUUGCAGGGCACGACCUGGCGCACAGAUGGUAGAUUGGCUUAGCAUGUGAUGAAGGCCACCGCACCUUACAUAAAUCAGUGGCUGUUUGAUACCCUGUAGGAAUGGGGUGGGAGUGUUUGGAGGAGCGCAGUGUGAGACACCCACGGGACAAGUGGAAGGUGUUCUGAAGCCCGUGAAGUCACAUGGGUGUAGUGUGGGCGCUUGUUCUCCAUCCAGAAGGCAUCCCACUGCAGGUGGGGCGGGGAGGAGGCCCUGCGGCAGGGAUGCAGAGGAUUCCCUGAGGGGUCUGAUUCACUCAUGAAGCUGUUGCAGAGUUCCUCAGACAGCAGCCUUAGACAUCCGAGAACUCUAGAGUUUCAAGGGUGGCAUAGGACGAGAGCAGAGGCCCACAUCGAGCUAGAGCCAAGUCUCUUGCAGGCAGUGGGAUCCCUGGUCUGGGGGACAGAAAGGCAGAGGACUGCGUUAUGACCGCGAAGUGUCUAGAGGGCCACCUGGGGACAGAAGAAAUGAAAAUGGGUUGACAAUGUCACCUGCUGCUUUGGGGUCAGAGACAAGAGGCCACCUAAGGCACUGAGGGAGUCACUACGGGAGCGUACGGUGCCAUGCAGGUCAGCCUGUAUACGUGGUCCCCGUUUUCUGAACCCCGGAACACUCUCUUUUACGUGCGUAUUCCCAUUGUAGACUUUGUCACUUCACCGUUUUACUGUCUUCCCUGUAACGUCACACGAUGUUGGCCUGUGCCCUGGGACAGCUGCUUAGCUGUGUGGACGGCUCUGUUGACCUGGUCCUCCGUCCCAUCCUCACCGCCCCUCUGCGCGGCAGCACAGGAGGUGUUUUCAGAUACAGCUCAUCCUGCCUCACACCCCCUUGGACAAGACAAGCCAGUUAACGGAUUGCUUGUCUCAUGCUGACUUGCAUGUAGUCAAUCAACAAUGCCCUUGGAAGGUUGCUCUGGGGACAGGACUCGAAAACGGAGCAAAAUGUGGAAUAAAGUAUUUAGGUUACAAGGGAGGUGCAUUUCAUGGCAGUGGAUCAAGCGGAUAUCAUAAUGGAUGUUCUAGACAUCGAGCCCCAGACUCACAAAGUUCCGAGAGCCUCCACCCAGAAACAGCCACAGAAGAUCUCACUCCUGAUACUAUUUUGAAUUGCUUACCGUUAUGUCUUCUGAAGGCUCUUUCCUCCCCCUCUCACCCAGCGAGCACCUCCCAGCUGGUGUCUGUUGAGUGUAGCACACGAGGGUGUGUGUGCUUUGGAACCAAAGAAAGUUUACCUACUCAUGACAAAAAUCAUGACUCCACCUUCUGAGACUAUGGACUGGAAUUGCAUUGUUGGCCCAUGGGAAAGGAAGGCAGGGAGCUGCACAAGCAUCCACACUGGCAUUACAAGUCGCAUGCAGCAGAAAGAAAUAAUUAACAGCUUCUAUGCCAUCCUCAGUGGACAACUCAUGGAUGGACUGUGAGCCUAGAAAGUUCAACUCACUCUCUCUCUAGCAUGAAAGACAGAGGCCACUUGGCAAAGAGCACUUACUUACUGUGUAUGUGACACUGCAGAAUCAGAGUUAUAAAGGAUUUUGAGUUAAUGGCCACACAUGGAGAAAUCCCAGGCCGGACUCUUUGGGGGAACUUGCAUUGUCCCCUGGCCACUAGCUCUGGAGCUGGGUGAGGAUCGCCCUGGAAGGAUGGGUUUCUCCAGGUCCUACCAUUGGCCACCCACGCCAAGUCCCACAUGAGUUACCAUCGGCCAUUAGGCUGCUAUGUUCCUUUCUUUUACUACAAAACCCUUCUCCUGAGUGUCUGACUCGUAAUCCAAACUGGUAAAAUGAAAUACAGACUAAGAGAGACAUUAUCCUCACUCUGACUUACAUUGACAGGUUGGCCUCUGAAGGCAUCUGAAUUUGCGAUAAGUAGGGCCGUCUGUCAGGUCAAAAGCCACAUCUAGUUCAAGAGUCCCCAUGCAUCCCUCUGUCCUUUCUGGGCCUUGACCUGGGGCUUACUCUGUGCUAAGCACUUGGACCCCAAUUUCCUUGCUGCUCCUCAGACCCUUCCCUUCUGUAACCCUGGGUUACAGACUGUUAUCGACUUGAGCUUGAUUUUGUUAUCCACACCCUACUUUCAGAAUGAACUUGGGAAAAAAAAAAAAAAGAAUGAACUUGGAUGACUUUGUUUCCACCUACUCUUCUU